UCUAUUUCAAUAUCGCUAAUAUUUUCACUCAUUAUCUCUUCUCUUUUUUUUGCUGAUUUUUAAUAUUAAAAUUAUUGUAUUUUUGGGUGUUGAUUGAAAUACACACUGAUAAUCUUAAUAUCAUUGAUAAAUAUCAUUUUUUCUUAACAGAAUGAUUACUCAGAUAUCUGCUGUUGAUGUUUAUAUCACAACUUUCAAAUUAUUUUAAUCUUUCAUCAUCAAUUCUUAUAUAUAUCUUUGAUAAUAGAUUGAUGUAUAUACUGACUGACAGCAUCAAUAAUUGAAGAUCAAACAACACUUUUGUAAUUGUCAUUAUCUGUCUUCAAACUCUGGUUUUUGACAUCAAUGAAGAUAUUGAGUAUGAUCAGCUUCAUAUCAGAGAUUCAAUCAGUUUGAAUUUGAAAGUUUUGCUGAGCUUACUAAGUAUAGAAUGAGGAGACUUGCUGUGUAGCUUGAAUAGCUAGCAUUGAAGAUUCAGAGUGCUGACUCUUUCUUAUCAAGGAUUUAUCAAGAUAUUG
Molecule: small RNA, 518 nt
Filed under: Histoplasma capsulatum var. duboisii H88
Lineage: Eukaryota; Fungi; Ascomycota; Eurotiomycetes; Onygenales; Ajellomycetaceae
Description: Histoplasma capsulatum H88 hypothetical RNA
Source: RNAcentral